This 764-nucleotide ribosomal RNA is filed under the name uncultured Thermococci archaeon. RNAcentral's name for it is "bacterial SSU rRNA". It matches the Rfam family "Archaeal small subunit ribosomal RNA", at positions 521 to 1287 of the family's 1478-position model. The record is from RNAcentral. Lineage: Archaea; Methanobacteriati; Methanobacteriota; Thermococci.
GUAGCCGGUAUGGUAAGUUCCUGGUAAAAUUGGGCAGCUUAACUGUCCUUGUGCUAGGGAUACUGCUCUACUAGAGGGCGGGAGAGGUCUGAGGUACUACAGGGGUAGGGGUGAAAUCUUAUAAUCCUUGUAGGACCACCAGUGGCGAAAGCGUCAGACUGGAACGCGCCUGACGGUGAGGGACGAAAGCCAGGGGAGCGAACCGGAUUAGAUACCCGGGUAGUCCUGGCCGUAAACGAUGCGCGCUAGGUGUUGCAUGCUCUACGGGGGUGUGCAGUGCCGUAGAGAAGUUGAUAAGCGUGCCGCCUGGGAAGUACCAGCGCAAGCUGGAAACUUAAAGGAAUUGGCGGGGGAGCACCACAAGGGGUGAAGUCUGCGGUUCAAUUGGAUUCAACGCCGGAAAUCUCACCGGGGGCGACGGCAGGAUGAAGGCCAAGCUGACGACUUUGCUGGACGAGCCGAGAGGAGGUGCAUGGCCGUCGUCAGCUCGUACCGUGAGGCGUCCUGUUAAGUCAGGCAACGAGCGAGACCCGUGCCCUUAGUUAUCAGCAGGCCCUCAGGGGUGCUGGACAAACUAAGGGGACCGCUUGCGAUAGCAAGAGGAAGGAGCGGGCGACGAUAGGUCAGUAUGCCCCGAAUCCCUCGUGCUACACGCGGACUGCAAUGGUUAGGACAAAGGGUCCCGACUUCGAAAGAAGGAGGAAAUCCCCAAACCUAACCCAAGUUCGGAUUGUGGGCUGUAACUCGCCCACAUGAAGCUGGAA